RNAcentral lists this ribosomal RNA (492 nucleotides) under uncultured bacterium. Its description in RNAcentral is "partial 16S ribosomal RNA". It matches the Rfam family "Bacterial small subunit ribosomal RNA", at positions 29 to 507 of the family's 1533-position model. The record is from RNAcentral.
AGUGAACGCUGGCGGUAGGCCUAACACAUGCAAGUCGAACGGCAGCACAGUAAGAGCUUGCUCUUACGGGUGGCGAGUGGCGGACGGGUGCGGAAUACAUCGGAAUCUACUUUUUCGUGGGGGAUAACGUAGGGAAACUUACGCUAAUACCGCAUACGACCUACGGGUGAAAGCAGGGGAUCUUCGGACCUUGCGCGAGUGUAUGAGCCGAUGUCGGAUUAGCUAGUUGGCGGGGUAAAGGCCCACCAAGGCGACGAUCCGUAGCUGGUCUGAGAGGAUGAUCAGCCACACUGGAACUGAGACACGGUCCAGACUCCUACGGGAGGCAGCAGUGGGGAAUAUUGGACAAUGGGCGCAAGCCUGAUCCAGCCAUACCGCGUGGGUGAAGAAGGCCUUCGGGUUGUAAAGCCCUUUUGGUGGGAAAGAAAAGCAGCAGGUUAAUACCCCGCUGUUCUGACGGUACCCAAAGAAUAAGCACCGGCUAACUUCGUG